UACGUAGGCAGCGAGCGUUGUUCGGAGUUACUGGGCGUAAAGCGUGCGUAGGCGGUGCUCCAAGUCUGUUGUGAAAUCUCCCGGCUUAACUGGGAGGGUGCGGCGGAAACUGGGGUGCUGGAGUGCGGGAGAGGUAAGCGGAAUUCCUGGUGUAGCGGUGAAAUUCGUAGAUAUCAGGAGGAACACCGGUGGCGAAAGCGGCUCCCUGGCCCGAUACUGACGCUCAUGUACGAAAGCGUGGGGAGCAAACAGG
This 253-nucleotide ribosomal RNA is filed under the name uncultured bacterium. Its description in RNAcentral is "partial 16S ribosomal RNA". It matches the Rfam family "Bacterial small subunit ribosomal RNA", at positions 524 to 776 of the family's 1533-position model. The record is from RNAcentral.